GCUGCUUUGAUUUAAGAAGACAAUACCAUUUCCAGACAUCUCUUUCCUGGGGCUAACUAUAUUAGUAUUCUGCCCUGAUGGGAAGGAAGAAACUUCAUGGGCAGUAAAUAGCCAAUUUAGAAGCAGGAGAAAUAUGAGGAUAAUAUUCUAUUUACUUAAGGGACACAAAGUAAAUAAAUGUUUUUGAAACUGAAUUGGAUUGAAGUGGAUCCAGAUUUUCACAGGAAAAAAAAGUUUCCUUUUCCCUUAGUUCUCCUUACACACCUGGCUUUGCAGGAAAAGAAAUUAUCAUUUGGAAACACACAUCUGCCUCAGCCACAGGUAGAAAAGGCUUGGACUACAUGUUUGGUUUGAAGUUUGAAAAUCUCAGUCCUUCCCCAACCAUCAAAAAUAUUUACCUCCCUCCCUUGUCUCACAAUCAUCUAAGCUGCCUUCUUGAAUUGACUCCCACACCUGUUCAUCAUAGAAGGAAAAAAAUAAAAGCAAAUGCCAUAUAAAAUCUCUCUUCUUCAACAAGGUCUUCUGUUUUGAAAUAUUGAAACAGUUCCUGUUCUAUUACCUCACCAGCUGUGGCCUUUUAUCUCCUAAAGGGAAUAGCUGACGUCUUACCAGUCAAAGUCAUUGUGCUUACGGACGCCAUAAAUAUCUCCUUUAAAUCCUACAUGAUAAAUUUCCCUCUGAUUGGUAAAGCAGAUACUGUAACAUGCAAAGGGGGAGCAGGAGAGUCUUUGAUGAUGUUAAACUAAGCCCCUGGAGAUAUCCCAGCUCUUCCUCCAGAAUUUUACUUUCCAACAACUGGAGUCAACAAAUACGGUAGAAAAUGUUGUCUGGAUUAUCUACUCCCAUUAUUUUUUUUUAAACUGGUUUUCAAUGAUGGGCAACCUAAAAUUUACUCACACAGAACACAAAACAGUUGAAUUUGUUAAAAGUCCAAAAUGUGCUUUUGUACUUUUGUAAAAUGGGAAUGUGCUUCUUGUACAAAUCACAAUAUGCUUUCUAGACCACAACCUAAAAAGGAAAGAAAAAAAUCCUGUGAAUAAAAAAAAAAAACAAGGACUUUCAGUUUUCUACAUGCAUUUGAAAUGACUUUAUCUCUGACUCAUGUUCUACUUUAUUUUUGAUUGGGAAGACCUGUUCCUAUACUGUAAUUUUUUUUUAAUAAUAAGUUUCCAUUUGUAACUAUUAGUUGGUCUUUCCACAAAAUUGGUUUGCUGGAAAGGACUGAGAAGAGAAAGAGCAUUCCUGGAUCAAUGGAACUGAUGAGUGUGGAAGUCCUUGAACUUGACCAAGCAUUGUCAAUUCUCAUAGUCUGACCAAAAAAAAACUAGAUUAUUUUGUGUGUUUUUCUUGGUGCUCCUAAUGUAAGUUUAUUCAAAUUGGGGGGGGGGCGGUGGGGGGAACAAACAAGUAGACUGCAGUUGUAAGAGAAAAAAGGUGAAAAUAAAUUAUUUUGGUGUUUUUUAUUACUUGGAACUUUAUUUAUUGUAGGAUAUAGAUUUAAGAUAAUUUUUUGUUUGUUUGUUUAUUUUAUUUUUAUUUAUUUAUUUGUUG
RNAcentral lists this long non-coding RNA (1551 nucleotides) under Homo sapiens (human). RNAcentral describes it as "HSALNT0022135". Lineage: Eukaryota; Metazoa; Chordata; Mammalia; Primates; Hominidae. The record is from RNAcentral.